AAAACUACAGAGAAAAGAGAACCAACAUAGUAUUUUCUACCAUUUUAAUACCAGAUAACAGCAGCAUUUACAACCAAACAAAAGUUACAGUCAUGUAAAAAUAAAAAAACAAACAGGAAAGGAAGUGUCUCUGUAACCGAGAAUAAAAAAGACGUUCAUCACGGGACAAAGUGUUCAGAAGUUUUACAAGAUGAACAACUGGUAUCUGGGUUUGUAUUCUACUCUACCCUACGGUUCUGGACGGUUUUAUUCAGAGACGACGUGGAGCGUUUUUACAGCACCUGAAAACACCUUCGACCCGCCCGACGCCCUGCACACGGAGGCUUCCACAGCAGAACCAGGACCGUUUAUUCUGCAACUGAUCCAUAAACCCACUGAGCGUCCAAGAACCAAAGGCGGGUCGGCGGCUCAGACAUGUGAUCAAUCCCAUAAGGCUUUGCUCUGUCUUUCCAAACACAAUGAAAGCCGUUUGUUUCGUUAACGUCGCAGAUUGUCCUCGUGGAAUUUGACUCGACGUACUCAUUAAAGCAUCUGUGCUUCAUCUUUUAGAACAUGCGAAGCAGCAGCAGCAGCAGCAGCGUCAUGCAAAGGUCAAAUCAACCUGACGGCGGUUUACAAACGUCUGCGUCCAAGACGCAAAGGUCUUUUAAAGAGUGGAUACGAAAAGUCAUGAGCUUCUCAGAGGCAGCACUGGUAUGUGUGGAAACAA
Sphaeramia orbicularis (orbiculate cardinalfish) is the source of this 709-nucleotide long non-coding RNA. RefSeq lists it as uncharacterized. The transcript is spliced from 3 exons. The record is from RefSeq and is a predicted model, not a curated record. NCBI's taxonomy places the organism in Eukaryota, Metazoa, Chordata, Actinopteri, Kurtiformes, Apogonidae.